Molecule: small nucleolar RNA, 136 nt
Organism: Ochotona princeps (American pika)
Lineage: Eukaryota; Metazoa; Chordata; Mammalia; Lagomorpha; Ochotonidae
Gene: SNORA70
Rfam family: Small nucleolar RNA SNORA70
About the family: snoRNA U70 seems to be exclusive to mammals and is a member of the H/ACA class of snoRNA which contain H (ANANNA) and ACA box motifs. H/ACA box snoRNAs are involved in the conversion of uridines to pseudouridines (5-ribosyluracil) a constituent of structural RNAs (transfer, ribosomal, small nuclear, and small nucleolar).
Source: Ensembl
AGGGUAGAAAAUAUAAAUUACAGAAGUAGUGACAUCCUUUCCUCACAGAGGCCCAGGGCUGCCAAAAGCAGCUUCCUUGGUGGUGCACACAGCUUGUUGCUUGUGUGGAUUGCCCUAGGUGACCUUGAAAACAACC